AAAAAGAAAGGAAACAAAAAAAAACCAAAAUAAAAAGAGAAAGAAAAAAUGAAAAUAGUUUGGAAUGCUAGUUUUGUCGUUUUGUGAAAAGAAAAAAAGAAGUAAAAAGAGAAAUUUUUUUGGCCAGCAGAGGCGGUUUUUGGGGUGGCAGAGAGGUUGCAAGACUGACAAAGGUACGUGCUGGUUGGGGAGAAAAAAAAAACGGUUUUAGC
RNAcentral lists this long non-coding RNA (212 nucleotides) under Vigna radiata. RNAcentral's name for it is "long non-coding RNA (VRAD_LNC015976)". Lineage: Eukaryota; Viridiplantae; Streptophyta; Magnoliopsida; Fabales; Fabaceae. The record is from RNAcentral.